RNAcentral lists this long non-coding RNA (950 nucleotides) under Anser brachyrhynchus (Pink-footed goose). RNAcentral describes it as "lncRNA (ENSABRG00000022433.1)". Lineage: Eukaryota; Metazoa; Chordata; Aves; Anseriformes; Anatidae. The record is from RNAcentral.
AAUGGCUCCUCCACCUUUCUUAGCACGAGAAGUGUCAGCAGCCCUCCAGUCCUGAACUUCUCCACAAUGAAGAAUGUCAGGCUUGUGGGAGCAGCAAUGAACUCAGACCUAUCUAAGAAGCUUACAGUGAGCUCCUCCUAGUGAAACCCGCUUCAAUGCUGUCUGACCUUGGAGUGCUCAGGCCUUGUUAGCUGCCAACCAACCCCAGGUGCUGCCCCCGCAAGAUGGACCUGCCGUCCUGCUGUUGUGGUACUCACACCCUCUGCUUUUUAACUCUGACAUGCUUUGGGAAUGUCCAGUUUAUUCUGCAGCUCCUCAGUGUGACAUCUGGAAACCUACCAGGUUAAAUGGAUAGUCAGCGACAAAUGCAGGAUCUUCAAAAUACUUUCUACAGAAAGCUGUUCCUGGGGGGAGAAUUCAGUGGAAUAUGGCUAACACUGAAGGAGGUCUUAUCUUUGGUAAAAGCAAUAGUGCUAGGAUUCUUGUUCCUUUUCUGGGCAAGUGCUGGCCAUGCCAUGGACUGCAGUCUGACAACAAGCCCUUUACAAGCUCUUUGCCACGAUUCAGUGAUCAUCUUUAAUCUGUAUAAUUCUGUUAUUUUCUCUGCUUACUCCCACUUAAGAAUGGCAAUAUCUACAGGUCAUGAGUGAAGGAAAAGUUCUGGGGAGUGCUGUUCUGAUGGUACUUGUCCCAGGCAAUGUGACUUUAUAACUGGGUGCUUACAGAAGAGUAAUUUCAGUUAAUCUAAUAAUUAGCAGUUUCAAGGAAUCCAUGGGAACCAGAGCUUUCUGUUGUAUUCUGUCUUUGUGAGUGGCGAUGUUUGGAUCAGUUUACUGACAUUGCACACCCUAGUGAGCAUAUACUCUAACAUCGAAGAACAGGCUAGUGCUGUGAUACUUCAAACAGUGUGGAAAAAAGCAUUCAGCUAUUGUUUUAAAUUGUCAUUGCUG